This 492-nucleotide ribosomal RNA is filed under the name uncultured bacterium. Its description in RNAcentral is "partial 16S ribosomal RNA". It matches the Rfam family "Bacterial small subunit ribosomal RNA", at positions 29 to 507 of the family's 1533-position model. The record is from RNAcentral.
AGUGAACGCUGGCGGUAGGCCUAACACAUGCAAGUCGAACGGCAGCACAGUAAGAGCUUGCUCUUACGGGUGGCGAGUGGCGGACGGGUGAGGAAUACAUCGGAAUCUACUUUUUCGUGGGGGAUAACGUAGGGAAACUUACGCUAAUACCGCAUACGACCUACGGGUGAAAGCAGGGGAUCUUCGGACCUUGCGCGAUUGUAUGAGCCGAUGUCGGAUUAGCUAGUUGGCGGGGUAAAGGCCCACCAAGGCGACGAUCCGUAGCUGGUCUGAGUGGAUGAUCAGCCCCACUGGAACUGAGACACGGUCCAGACUCCUACGGGAGGCAGCAGUGGGGAAUAUUGGACAAUGGGCGCAAGCCUGAUCCAGCCAUGCCGCGUGAGUGAAGAAGGCCUUCGGGUUGUAAAGCCCUUUUGUUGGGAAAGAAAAGCAGCAGGUUAAUACCCCGCUGUUCUGACGGUACCCAAAGAAUAAGCACCGGCUAACUUCGUG